Molecule: ribosomal RNA, 512 nt
Filed under: uncultured Glomus
Lineage: Eukaryota; Fungi; Glomeromycota; Glomeromycetes; Glomerales; Glomeraceae
Description: SSU rRNA
Rfam family: Eukaryotic small subunit ribosomal RNA
Source: RNAcentral
AGCAGCCGCGGUAAUUCCAGCUCCAAUAGCGUAUAUUAAAGUUGUUGCAGUUAAAAAGCUCGUAGUUGAAUUUCGGGGUUAGUAGGCUGGUCGUGCCACUGGUAUGUACUGGUCUCACUGAUUCCUCCUUCCUGAUGAGCUGUAAUGCCAUUAAUUUGGUGUUGCAGGGAAUCUGGACUGUUACUUUGAAAAAAUUAGAGUGUUUAAAGCAGGCUAACGCUUGAAUACAUUAGCAUGGAAUAAUGAAAUAGGACGUUCGAUCCUAUUUUGUUGGUUUCUAGGGUUGACGUAAUGAUUAAUAGGGGAUAGUUGGGGGCAUUAGUAUUCAAUUGUCAGAGGUGAAAUUCUUGGAUUUAUUGAAGACUAACUACUGCGAAAGCAUUUGUUAAGGUAUGUUUUCAUUAAUCAAGAACGAAAGUUAGGGGAUCGAAGACGAUCAGAUACCGUCGUAGUCUUAACCAUAAACUAUGCCGACUAGGGAUCGGAUGAUGUUAAUUUUUAAUGACUCAUUC